RNAcentral lists this transfer RNA (73 nucleotides) under bacterium. RNAcentral describes it as "tRNA-Thr". It matches the Rfam family "tRNA". Rfam says of the family: Transfer RNA (tRNA) molecules are approximately 80 nucleotides in length. Their secondary structure includes four short double-helical elements and three loops (D, anti-codon, and T loops). Further hydrogen bonds mediate the characteristic L-shaped molecular structure. tRNAs have two regions of fundamental functional importance: the anti-codon, which is responsible for specific mRNA codon recognition, and the 3' end, to which the tRNAs corresponding amino acid is attached (by aminoacyl-tRNA synthetases). tRNAs cope with the degeneracy of the genetic code in two manners: having more than one tRNA (with a specific anti-codon) for a particular amino acid; and 'wobble' base-pairing, i.e. permitting non-standard base-pairing at the 3rd anti-codon position. RNAcentral also lists the same sequence under 2 other names. The record is from RNAcentral.
GCUGCCGUGGCUCAGCUGGUAGAGCGCGUCCUUGGUAAGGACGAGGUCCCGGGUUCGAUCCCCGGCGGCAGCU